ACUCUGGGUAGCUCAGUCUGUAGAGCAUGAGACUCUUAAUUUCAGGGUUGUGGGUUUGAGCCCAGUGUUGGGCA
Molecule: transfer RNA, 74 nt
Filed under: Podarcis lilfordi (Lilford's wall lizard)
Lineage: Eukaryota; Metazoa; Chordata; Lepidosauria; Squamata; Lacertidae
Description: tRNA.Lys
Source: RNAcentral